Molecule: ribosomal RNA, 758 nt
Organism: Blastocystis sp.
Lineage: Eukaryota; Bigyra; Opalinata; Blastocystidae
Rfam family: Eukaryotic large subunit ribosomal RNA
Source: Rfam
AGACGAGUGAAAAACAAACAUAACCCAAGAACAAGCAUUCCGAGCGGAGGCUACCGAGCAAUCGGACCGACGGGAGGAAUUACUGUCUCUGAAAGGAGGCAUACGAGCCCAGAAGUCGGACAUGGCGAGGGCGUUAAAGCAGGCGGGGUCCACCCCAAAAGAGGGCGGGCAGUACGUAAACGUUUUGUUUGUUUGUUUGUUUGUUAAACCCAUUAGUGCAGAUCUUGGUGGAAGUAGCAAAUAUUCAAAUGAGAUCUUUGAAGACUGAAGUGGAGAAAGGUUCCAUAGGAAUCGUGAUGAUCUACGGGUUAGUCGAUCCUAAGAGAUAGGUGAAAUCCAUUGAAAGGAUGACGUUCGUCAUCGUCUAUCGAAAGGGAAUCAGGUUAAUAUUCCUGAACCAAUAGAAGUGUGUCGGUAACGGUAUUGAGAUUGAAGACAUUGAUGGUACUCCUGGGAAGAGUUGUCUUUUCUUGUUAACAAAUGGCAGUCCUUGGAAUAAAUUCAGUUUGCGAGAAGGAUUGUGGUUUGGUAAAGGUUCCUGCUUGUUGGGAGCUCUGGUGCAGUAUCAGCAGUCCUUGAAAAUUCAAUCUCAACGUAACUUCUAUUGUUCGUACUCAUAACCGCAUCAGGUCUCCAAGGUGAAUAGCCUCUAGUUCAUAGAAUAAUGUAGGUAAGGGAAGUCGGCAAAUUAGAUCCGUAACUUCGGGAAAAGGAUUGGCUCUGAGGGCUAAGCAGAAUGAGUAUUGGUUAGGAAACGG